AUAUAACUAAGCGGAGGAAAAGAAACUAACCAGGAUUCCCCUAGUAACGGCGAGUGAAGCGGGAAGAGCUCAAGCUUAAAAUCUCUGUACAGGUUCUGUGCAGCGAAUUGUAGUCUACAAAGGCGUGACCAGUUGCUGCGCGCGAGAAAAGUUCUUUGGAAGAAGGCAGCAUGGAGGGUGAUACUCCCGUGUAUUCUUGUGCGCGUGCGACGUACGGUCCGUUUUUCUUGAGUCGCGUUGUUUGGGAAUGCAGCGCAAAGCCGGUGGUAAAUUCCAUCGAAGGCUAAAUACUGGUGCGAGACCGAUAGCGAACAAGUACCGUGAGG
Molecule: ribosomal RNA, 326 nt
Filed under: Salisapilia sp.
Lineage: Eukaryota; Oomycota; Peronosporomycetes; Peronosporales; Salisapiliaceae
Description: partial large subunit ribosomal RNA
Rfam family: Eukaryotic large subunit ribosomal RNA
Source: RNAcentral